UGCCAGCAGCCGCGGUAAUACGGAGGGUGCAAGCGUUAAUCGGAAUUACUGGGCGUAAAGCGCGCGUAGGCGGCUUGUUAAGCUGGAUGUGAAAGCCCCGGGCUCAACCUGGGAAUGGCAUUCGAUACUGCAUGGCUAGAGUAUGGUAGAGGGAAGUGGAAUUUCCGGUGUAGCGGUGAAAUGCGUAGAUAUCGGAAGGAACACCGGUGGCGAAGGCGGCUUUCUGGACCGAUACUGACGCUGAGACGCGAAAGCGUGGGGAGCAAACAGGAUUAGAUA
Molecule: ribosomal RNA, 279 nt
Filed under: uncultured bacterium
Lineage: Bacteria
Description: partial 16S ribosomal RNA
Rfam family: Bacterial small subunit ribosomal RNA
Source: RNAcentral